This 75-nucleotide transfer RNA is filed under the name Clostridioides difficile. RNAcentral describes it as "tRNA-Ala". It matches the Rfam family "tRNA". Rfam says of the family: Transfer RNA (tRNA) molecules are approximately 80 nucleotides in length. The record is from RNAcentral. Lineage: Bacteria; Bacillati; Bacillota; Clostridia; Peptostreptococcales; Peptostreptococcaceae.
UGGGGUGUGGCUCAGUUGGGAGGCACUUGCCUUGCAAGCAGGGGUCCAGGAGUUCGACUCUCCUCAUCUCCACCA